UGUCGUCUUUCCACUAAG
Molecule: small nuclear RNA, 18 nt
Filed under: Arabidopsis thaliana (thale cress)
Lineage: Eukaryota; Viridiplantae; Streptophyta; Magnoliopsida; Brassicales; Brassicaceae
Description: snRNA_08593
Source: RNAcentral